CCUAAGAACUUCAAAAUAACCAACAGGCAACCACGGGAAAGCCAGUGGGCCAACUAGAGAAGGGCACUUGACCCGGGCAGCGAUCCACUGACUCUGACAGCAGCUCCUGUGUUUCAUCCCAAGUGUGACCAAGUCUCUCCCCGGCAUCUUAAAGAGCUCAGUGGCACUGACAGGACUGGGGACCGAAAUUCAACCCCAACAGAGUCAACAGCUAUACAGAGAUCCUGCCAUCUCAGGCCCUGCUCCUGGGCUAAUCCAGUCCUCUGCCCUAGAAUUUGCUUCCGUCGGCCAGACUUGAGCUGAAUCGUGAAGAAAGCCCGCAGAGGCAAUUCUGCACUCUGGGACCACCACCUCCUUCCCAUGUGGAUGUGAAGCUUCUCCA
Long non-coding RNA from Neomonachus schauinslandi (Hawaiian monk seal), 382 nucleotides. RefSeq lists it as uncharacterized. The record is from RefSeq and is a predicted model, not a curated record. Lineage: Eukaryota; Metazoa; Chordata; Mammalia; Carnivora; Phocidae. The transcript has 3 exons.